This 584-nucleotide ribosomal RNA is filed under the name Epicoccum nigrum. RNAcentral describes it as "eukaryotic LSU rRNA". The stretch from base 212 to 365 matches the Rfam family "5.8S ribosomal RNA". Lineage: Eukaryota; Fungi; Ascomycota; Dothideomycetes; Pleosporales; Didymellaceae. The record is from RNAcentral.
CUUGGUCAUUUAGAGGAAGUAAAAGUCGUAACAAGGUUUCCGUAGGUGAACCUGCGGAAGGAUCAUUACCUAGAGUUUGCAGACUUCGGUCUGCUACCUCUUACCCAUGUCUUUUGAGUACCUUCGUUUCCUCGGUGGGUCCGCCCGCCGGUUGGACAACAUUCAAACCCUUUGCAGUUGCAAUCAGCGUCUGAAAAAACUUAAUAGUUACAACUUUCAACAACGGAUCUCUUGGUUCUGGCAUCGAUGAAGAACGCAGCGAAAUGCGAUAAGUAGUGUGAAUUGCAGAAUUCAGUGAAUCAUCGAAUCUUUGAACGCACAUUGCGCCCCUCGGUAUUCCAUGGGGCAUGCCUGUUCGAGCGUCAUUUGUACCUUCAAGCUCUGCUUGGUGUUGGGUGUUUUGUCUCGCCUCCGCGCGCAGACUCGCCUUAAAACAAUUGGCAGCCGGCGCAUUGAUUUCGGAGCGCAGUACAUCUUGCGCUUUGCACUCAUAACGACGACGUCCAAAAGUACAUUUUUACACUCUUGACCUCGGAUCAGGUAGGGAUACCCGCUGAACUUAAGCAUAUCAAUAAGCGGAGGAA